GGGAAAGAGGUGGCAUCGGCGGUUCAAGACUGAGUUUUCUAUCUCUUCAGUGCCUCUUUCAACAAUGAAGAUCAAACCAGGUUUUGUGCAAAUAUCUGCUGAGUGAACUACUUAUUUGAAAAUACAUCAUUGGUUAAUAUUCCCUUUUGCUCAUUGAAAUCUCAAAGACUACAGACCCCGCACAAGACAUUCUGACAUUCCCGUCUUUGAAAUGAAUGACAGCAAUGAUAAAUAUGGCUCACCUCCAGAGAUACAGAUCUCACAACUUCAUAUUUUUAAUAUAAAUUAUUAAUCUGAGAAGCAGAGAGAGAUAAGACCCAUGAUAAUCAAGCCAUAAACAGAUGCAUUUACUAGCUGAAUGGCCAACAAUGGAAUUCAACAAAUCCAUCUUGAGCACGGCAGCCAGGAGUGUGGUGCAAUUCCAUUAGAUGAAAGAGAUCUACACAUUCAGAAGCACAUGAUUCUUCCCCCUUCCAUGAUUCCAGUGGCCAAUAGACAAACUACAAUAAAGCCAUGCCCUGACUGGAUGUGCCUAACAUUUGUCUGGUGCUUAAAGGAGUUGGCUGCAUGCGUGGAAAUGUUGGAAAGUCACCAAAAAUAGUUCUCCAAGUCAGAAGCGGUGCAAAAGCUGCCUCAGCUCUUGGUGGAUUUUCAAUUUCUCCCAGCCAUCUCUGUUUCGCUAAAGGUUUCUGAAGACAGUGGGGGAAGCUUUUUUCUCCUCCCCAUCCUGAUCACUAGUAUGAGAAGGGGUGCUAAUGGACCAGCCUUGGCCUUGCAGAUGAAGAUGAUGAAGGAAGAAGAUGUAUAAAGAACCUCUGAAAGAGUCCCAGUUUUACAUUUCAAAGUCUUUUUCCUUCUGUUGUUUAUUGUGUUGGGUUGGAGUGGAGGAUAUUUGAUGGAGAAUUGAUUCUGAAACUUGCCAAAAUAUGGAUAAUACUUUGCUCCUUUUCCAUUGUGGGUUAUCACAAAGAAGAGUUUCACUUUUAGUCAUCUAUUUACAGUCUAGAAACAGGAACAAACCCAAACCAAGCAGAAAAACAGAAAUAACCAAGAUCAAAACGGAACUAAAUGAAAUUGAAAUGAAAAAGUACAAAGAUAAAUGAAACAAAAACCUGGUUUAUUGAAAAGUUAAAUAAAAUUGAUAAUUCAA
This 1150-nucleotide long non-coding RNA is filed under the name Homo sapiens (human). RNAcentral describes it as "long intergenic non-protein coding RNA 1192". The record is from RNAcentral. Lineage: Eukaryota; Metazoa; Chordata; Mammalia; Primates; Hominidae.